UACGUAGGGGGCAAGCGUUGUCCGGAAUUAUUGGGCGUAAAGAGCGCGUAGGCGGUCCGAUAAGUCGGCUGUGAAAGUCAGGGGCUCAACCCUUGAAAGCCGGCCGAUACUGUCGGACUAGAGUCCGGAAGAGGCAAGUGGAAUUCCCGGUGUAGCGGUGAAAUGCGCAGAUAUCGGGAGGAACACCAAUGGCGAAGGCAGCUUGCUGGGACGGUACUGACGCUGAGGCGCGAAAGCGUGGGGAGCAAACAGG
RNAcentral lists this ribosomal RNA (253 nucleotides) under uncultured bacterium. RNAcentral's name for it is "partial 16S ribosomal RNA". It matches the Rfam family "Bacterial small subunit ribosomal RNA", at positions 524 to 776 of the family's 1533-position model. The record is from RNAcentral.